This 497-nucleotide ribosomal RNA is filed under the name uncultured bacterium. Its description in RNAcentral is "partial 16S ribosomal RNA". It matches the Rfam family "Bacterial small subunit ribosomal RNA", at positions 28 to 507 of the family's 1533-position model. The record is from RNAcentral.
GAUGAACGCUGGCGGCGUGCCUAAUACAUGCAAGUCGAGCGAACAGACGAGGAGCUUGCUCCUCUGACGUUAGCGGCGGACGGGUGAGUAACACGUGGAUAACCUACCUAUAAGACUGGGAUAACUUCGGGAAACCGGAGCUAAUACCGGAUAAUAUAUUGAACCGCAUGGUUCAAUAGUGAAAGACGGUUUUGCUGUCACUUAUAGAUGGAUCCGCGCCGCAUUAGCUAGUUGGUAAGGUAACGGCUUACCAAGGCAACGAUGCGUAGCCGACCUGAGAGGGUGAUCGGCCACACUGGAACUGAGACACGGUCCAGACUCCUACGGGAGGCAGCAGUAGGGAAUCUUCCGCAAUGGGCGAAAGCCUGACGGAGCAGCGCCGCGUGAGUGAUGAAGGUCUUCGGAUCGUAAAACUCUGUUAUUAGGGAAGAACAAAUGUGUAAGUAACUAUGCACAUCUUGACGGUACCUAAUCAGAAAGCCACGGCUAACUACGUG